This 3108-nucleotide unclassified non-coding RNA is filed under the name Schistocerca americana (American grasshopper). RNAcentral describes it as "protein CLEC16A homolog, transcript variant X1". Lineage: Eukaryota; Metazoa; Arthropoda; Insecta; Orthoptera; Acrididae. The record is from RNAcentral.
AGUGUUAGAACCUACGAUGGUGGUGGAGAGGGAGUGUUUGCUUUUGUAUUUGCAUAUCCCUUAUAGAUAGAGUGUAAGUGUUUUCUGUUUUGUGUGUGAAACGAUGAUGUUCCUUUAAAUACAUUUGCCGAGAGUGACAUCCCCCAGCCUUUAAUGAGUUACGCUUGAAAUGGGUUUUGUGGUUAAUGCAUUAUGACUCAGUUAUUCUCGUGAUUGUCACCCACCGAGAGACUCGCCGAAAUGUUCAGAAGUAGAAGCUGGUUUGGAGGCGGCUUAUGGAAACCGAAAAAUCCACAUUCAUUGGAACAUCUUAAGUACCUGUACAAUGUUUUAUCUAAAAACCAAUCAGUGUCAGAAACAAAUAGAGGACUUCUUGUAGAAACAUUGAGGUCAAUUGCUGAAAUACUAAUAUGGGGUGACCAAAAUGACAGCAGUGUCUUUGACUUUUUCUUGGAAAAAAACAUGCUGUCUUUCUUUUUAAAAAUAAUGAAGCAAAAAUGUGGAAGCUAUGUUUGUGUGCAGCUACUGCAGACCUUAAAUAUUUUAUUUGAAAAUAUUCGAAAUGAAACGUCUUUGUAUUACCUCCUGAGCAAUAACCAUGUAAAUUCAAUUAUAGUUCACAAAUUUGAUUUCUCUGAUGAAGAAGUUAUGGCUUACUAUAUAUCAUUUCUGAAGACACUCUCAUUGAAACUAAAUGCUCAUACAGUACACUUUUUCUACAAUGAGCACACAAAUGAUUUCCCUUUGUACACUGAGGCAAUAAAAUUUUUCAACCACCCAGAGAGCAUGGUGCGUAUUGCAGUACGAACACUGACACUGAAUGUAUACAGGGUAGAAGACAGAUCAAUGCUCAAAUUUAUCCGAGACAAAACAGCUGCUCCAUAUUUUUCAAACCUUGUUUGGUUCAUUGGCAAUCACGUCCUAGAGCUUGAUAUAUGUGUUCGAAAUGAUGCUGAUCAUCAGAGUCAGAAUCGUCUAUCAGAUCUCGUUGCUGAACAUUUGGAUCAUUUGCAUUAUCUGAAUGAUAUUUUAUGUUUGGAUAUUGCUGACUUGAAUCAAGUCCUUACUGAUCAUCUACUGAAUAAACUACUUAUACCAUUAUAUGUGUAUUCCCUAACAAAACGAAGGAGGCAUUCACAGCUUGAGGAUACGAAGCCCCAUGUAAGCAGUGUUGUUUCAUUAUUCCUGUUGUCACAAGUUUUCCUUAUAAUCACUCACAAGCCACUGGUUCAAGUGUUAGCGUGGAUAAUACUCAAUGGUGACAUGGAAAUUUUUUCUCAAGGAGCUUCUGAUAAACUUGCAACUUAUAGACGGGCUCAGGUCACUGGAACGAUAAAACCUGGGUUUGUUCCACCAACAGAGACACUGGAAAAAUCUUUGGAAACAAGCGCACUUGAUAUUACAAAGGAAAGUGAUGCAUCGCCUGGUACUGAUGCUGUAUUGGGAACAAAUUCCUGUCUUGAAAAAAAAACUACAGAAAAUCAAGAGAGCAAUGACAAUACAUUGAGUGAGUAUCCUGAUGAUGAUUCUACUGACCUUAAUGUCAACAUAACAGAUGAAGAAAAAGAGCGCUUGGCACUAGAAACAUCAAAUCCACCAGUGACAGUGGCGGUGGCGGCAGCAGCACCACCACCGCCAACAGCGGUAUCCGAUAGCAUAACUGUGGCCCCAGUGCUGCCACAGCAGUCUCAAACACUCAGCAACAAACCAUUUUUGGAAAUGAUUUUCAACACCCUGCAGUGUUCAGAAAAUGAUUAUUCUGCUCUGUUUGCACUUUGUUUGCUGUAUGCAUUGGGCCACAAUCAAGGUGUAAAUGAAGAACUUAUUGACACGGUUCUGCUUCCUUCAGAGAAGCCAGAGACUCGACACUGGUACAAUGUUCUUCUAGUUGAGAAGCUCAUUAAAAUUAUAUCACAAGCUUGCCAGUCAAAUAGUCGAAUACGACUUGUGACAUUGGAACUUAGUAUUCGCUUACUAAUACAGCUAGUGAUGAAGAAUGGGCAAAGUUUCCUCCGUGAUGGUCACUUGGCGGCAAUUGAAGGAGCGAAAGAGGAAAGUGUUGCUCUCCUGAGAAAUUUUUAUAAGAGUGAAGAAAUAUUUCUCGAUAUGUUUGAAGAUGAAUACAAUGAAAUGAAGAAACGCCCACUGAAUGUAGAGUGGCUUAUGAUGGAUUCCAACAUUCUACUGCCACCAACAGGAACUCCUAUGACAGGAAUUGAAUUUAGCAAACGGUUACCAUGCGGAGAGGUUGAACGGGCAAGGCGGGCAAUAAGAGUGUUCUUCUUGGUCAGAGAUCUGUCAUUGACCCUUAGAGGGGAGCCUGAAACUCAGUUGCCUCUCACAAACCCACAGUCGUGUGUUCAAGUUGAUGUUGUUCUAGAUCUAAAUAACAGCGAUCUGAUUGCAUGCACUGUGGUUAACAAAGAAGGACACAAAAUUCGACGAUUUCUUGUUAUUGAUGUAAUGCAGUUUAUUCUUGUUGAACCUGACACAAGACGCCUUGGAUGGGGUGUUACAAAAUUUGUUGGUUUCCUUCAGGACAUAGAAGUUACAGGAGACAAAGAUGACUCCCGUUGUUUGCAUAUUACUGUUCACCGUCCACUUUCGAGUAGCUCUUCCAACCGUGUGCCACUGUUGUCAGCAAAGUUCAUAUUUGAUGAUCAUAUUAGAUGCAUGGCAGCUAAACAACGGCUAACAAAAGGACGUAUAAAAGCACGCCAGAAGAAAAUGCACAUGAUAGCCAGGCUUCUAGAUCUUCCCAGCAAUGUGUUGCCAUGUCCCUCUCCACCACCUUAUAAUCUCAUGGCACAGCGUGCAGCUGAAGCAUCAGCAAGUAAAGCGAGUAUCUUGUUGUGAACUUCCACCUGCAGGAGUAAGCCAUGGUGCUGUCAGGUCGAGAGAGGGCUCAAAUUCUCCUCGACUGCCAAGACCACGCAGUGAGGAAAUACCUCUUGAAGAUAUGAGUACAAAGAAAACUGGUAGAGGCACCAAUGGUGUUGCAGGAACAUCUGGGAGCAUAAAUCCACCAGUGAAGAUGAGGCACAAACCUUUACAUCAUAGAGAUGCAAUGUUUAGACCACCAAUGACCCCUUCUCCAGUACCACAGCA